Molecule: ribosomal RNA, 254 nt
Filed under: uncultured bacterium
Lineage: Bacteria
Description: partial 16S ribosomal RNA
Rfam family: Bacterial small subunit ribosomal RNA
Source: RNAcentral
UACGUAGGGACCAAGCGUUGUUCGGAUUUACUGGGCGCAAAGGGCGCGUAGGCGGCAAUUCAAGUCAUCUGUGAAAUCUCCGGGCUUAACCCGGAACGGUCAGGUGAUACUGUUUUGCUAGAGUGCGGAAGGGGCAAUCGGAAUUCUCGGUGUAGCGGUGAAAUGCGUAGAUAUCGAGAGGAACACCAGAGGUGAAGACGGGUUGCUGGGCCGACACUGACGCUGACAGCGCGAAAGCCAGGGGAGCAAACGGG